RNAcentral lists this transfer RNA (63 nucleotides) under Ictidomys tridecemlineatus (thirteen-lined ground squirrel). RNAcentral's name for it is "Spermophilus tridecemlineatus (thirteen-lined ground squirrel) tRNA". It matches the Rfam family "tRNA", at positions 5 to 66 of the family's 71-position model. From Rfam's summary of the family: Transfer RNA (tRNA) molecules are approximately 80 nucleotides in length. Their secondary structure includes four short double-helical elements and three loops (D, anti-codon, and T loops). Lineage: Eukaryota; Metazoa; Chordata; Mammalia; Rodentia; Sciuridae. RNAcentral also lists the same sequence under 1 other name. The record is from Rfam by way of RNAcentral.
GUGUGGCUCAGUGGUAGAGCACUUGCUGGCCAUGUGUGAGGCCCUGGGUUCAAUCCCCAGCAC